This 86-nucleotide small RNA is filed under the name Marmota monax (woodchuck). The record is from RNAcentral. Lineage: Eukaryota; Metazoa; Chordata; Mammalia; Rodentia; Sciuridae.
GCCAGGCAGGGGGGCACAUGCCUGUAAUUCCAGCUACUUGGGAGGCUGAGGCAGGAGGAUCAUAACUUUGCUAGACCCUGUCUCAA